AAACGCUGAGGUGUGAUGACGAGGCACUACGGUGCUGAAGUAACAAAUGCCCUGCUUCCAGGAAAAGCCUCUAAGCAUCAGGUAACACGAAAUCGUACCCCAAACCGACACAGGUGGUCAGGUAGAGAAUACCAAGGCGCUUGAGAGAACUCGGGUGAAGGAACUAGGCAAAAUGGUGCCGUAACUUCGGGAGAAGGCACGCUGAUAUGUAGGUGAAGUGGUUUACCCAUGGAGCUGAAAUCAGUCGAAGAUACCAGCUGGCUGCAACUGUUUAUUAAAAACACAGCGCUGUGCAAACACGAAAGUGGACGUAUACGGUGUGACGCCUGCCCGGUGCCGGAAGGUUAAUUGAUGGGGUUAUCCGUAAGGAGAAGCUCUUGAUCGAAGCCCCGGUAAACGGCGGCCGUAACGAUAACGGUCCUAAGGUAGCGAAAUUCCUUGUCGGGUAAGUUCCGACCUGCACGAAUGGCGUAAUGAUGGCCAGGCUGUCUCCACCCGAGACUCAGUGAAAUUGAACUCGCUGUGAAGAUGCAGUGUACCCGCGGCAAGACGGAAAGACCCCGUGAACCUUUACUAUAGCUUGACACUGAACACUGGUCCUUGAUGUGUAGGAUAGGUGGGAGGCUUUGAAGUGUGGACGCCAGUCUGCAUGGAGCCAUCCUUGAAAUACCACCCUUUAAUGGCUGGUGUUCUAACGUAGACCCGUGAUCCGGGUUGCGGACAGUGUCUGGUGGGUAGUUUGACUGGGGCGGUCUCCUCCUAAAGAGUAACGGAGGAGCACGAAGGUUAGCUAAUCCUGGUCGGACAUCAGGAGGUUAGUGCAAAGGCAUAAGCUAGCUUGACUGCGAGAGUGACGGCUCGAGCAGGUGCGAAAGCAGGUCUUAGUGAUCCGGUGGUUCUGAAUGGAAGGGCCAUCGCUCAACGGAUAAAAGGUACUCCGGGGAUAACAGGCUGAUACCGCCCAAGAGUUCAUAUCGACGGCGGUGUUUGGCACCUCGAUGUCGGCUCAUCACAUCCUGGGGCUGAAGUAGGUCCCAAGGGUAUGGCUGUUCGCCAUUUAAAGUGGUACGCGAGCUGGGUUUAGAACGUCGUGAGACAGUUCGGUCCCUAUCUGCCGUGGGCGCUGGAGAAUUGAGGGGGGCUGCUCCUAGUACGAGAGGACCGGAGUGGACGCAUCACUGGUGUUCGGGUUGUCAUGCCAAUGGCAUUGCCCGGUAGCUAAAUGCGGAAGAGAUAAGUGCUGAAAGCAUCUAAGCACGAAACUUGCCCCGAGAUGAGUUCUCCCUGACUCCUUGAGAGUCCUGAAGGAACGUUGAAGACGACGACGUUGAUAGGUCGGGUGUGUAAGUGUAGCGAUACAUUGAGCUAACCGAUACUAAUGAACC
This 1385-nucleotide ribosomal RNA is filed under the name metagenome. RNAcentral describes it as "bacterial LSU rRNA". It matches the Rfam family "Bacterial large subunit ribosomal RNA", at positions 1551 to 2910 of the family's 2925-position model. The record is from RNAcentral.